This 468-nucleotide ribosomal RNA is filed under the name uncultured bacterium. RNAcentral's name for it is "partial 16S ribosomal RNA". It matches the Rfam family "Bacterial small subunit ribosomal RNA", at positions 28 to 507 of the family's 1533-position model. The record is from RNAcentral.
GACGAACGCUGGCGGCGUGCUUAACACAUGCAAGUCGAACGGAAAGGCCCUGCUUUUGUGGGGUGCUCGAGUGGCGAACGGGUGAGUAACACGUGAGUAACCUGCCCUUGACUUUGGGAUAACUUCAGGAAACGGGGGCUAAUACCGGAUCGGAGCUCCUGCUGCAUGGUGGGCGUUGGAAAGUUGCGGCGGUUGGGGAUGGACUGGCGGCUUAUCAGCUUGUUGGUGGGGUAGUGGCUUACCAAGGCUUUGACGGGUAGCCGGCCUGAGAGGGUGACCGGGCACAUUGGGACUGAGAUACGGCCCAGACUGCUACGGGAGGCAGCGGUGGGAAAUAUUGCACAAUGGGCGGAAGCCUGAUGCAGCAGCGCCGCGUGCGGGAUGACGGCUUUCGGGGUGUAAACCGCUUUAGCCUGUGACGAAGCGUGGGUGACGGUAAUGGGUAAAGAAGCACCGGCUAACUACGUG